RNAcentral lists this transfer RNA (63 nucleotides) under Omphisa fuscidentalis (bamboo borer). RNAcentral describes it as "tRNA-Arg". Lineage: Eukaryota; Metazoa; Arthropoda; Insecta; Lepidoptera; Crambidae. The record is from RNAcentral.
AAAUAAGAAGCAAUUUGCAUUUAAUUUCGACUUAAAAAUAGAGUUUAUCAAACUCCUUAUUUA